Molecule: non-coding RNA, 29 nt
Filed under: Mus musculus (house mouse)
Lineage: Eukaryota; Metazoa; Chordata; Mammalia; Rodentia; Muridae
Source: RNAcentral
UGAGAAUUUACAUCCAGAUACAGCACACU